Molecule: ribosomal RNA, 1478 nt
Filed under: Mammaliicoccus sciuri
Lineage: Bacteria; Bacillati; Bacillota; Bacilli; Caryophanales; Staphylococcaceae
Description: Staphylococcus sciuri 16S ribosomal RNA
Rfam family: Bacterial small subunit ribosomal RNA
Source: RNAcentral
GCGGCGUGCCUUUACGUGCAAGUCGAGCGAACAGAUGAGAAGCUUGCUUCUCUGAUGUUAGCGGCGGACGGGUGAGUAACACGUGGGUAACCUACCUAUAAGACUGGGAUAACUCCGGGAAACCGGGGCUAAUACCGGAUAAUAUUUUGAACCGCAUGGUUCAAUAGUGAAAGACGGUUUCGGCUGUCACUUAUAGAUGGACCCGCGCCGUAUUAGCUAGUUGGUAAGGUAAUGGCUUACCAAGGCGACGAUACGUAGCCGACCUGAGAGGGUGAUCGGCCACACUGGAACUGAGACACGGUCCAGACUCCUACGGGAGGCAGCAGUAGGGAAUCUUCCGCAAUGGGCGAAAGCCUGACGGAGCAACGCCGCGUGAGUGAUGAAGGUCUUCGGAUCGUAAAACUCUGUUGUUAGGGAAGAACAAAUUUGUUAGUAACUGAACAAGUCUUGACGGUACCUAACCAGAAAGCCACGGCUAACUACGUGCCAGCAGCCGCGGUAAUACGUAGGUGGCAAGCGUUAUCCGGAAUUAUUGGGCGUAAAGCGCGCGUAGCGGUUUCUUAAGUCUGAUGUGAAAGCCCACGGCUCAACCGUGGAGGGUCAUUGGCAAACUGGGAAACUUGACUGCAGAGGAGGAUAGUUGAAUUUCCAUGUGUACCGAUGAAAUGCCCAAAAAUCUGGAAGGACCACAAUGGCCAAGGCGGCUCUCUGGAUCUAGUAAAUGACCCAGACGUGUUAGCCCCGGGAUUUAAACAGUUAAAUUCCCUUGGAAUCACCACGCGCACCUUGCCUUGUAGUGUCACAGAGUUUCGCCCCUUAGUGCUGCAGCUAACGCAUUAAGCACUCCGCCUGGGGAGUACGACCGCAAGGUUGAAACUCAAAGGAAUUGACGGGGACCCGCACAAGCGGUGGAGCAUGUGGUUUAAUUCGAAGCAACGCGAAGAACCUUACCAAAUCUUGACAUCCUUUGACCGCUCUAGAGAUAGAGUCUUCCCCUUCGGGGGACAAAGUGACAGGUGGUGCAUGGUUGUCGUCAGCUCGUGUCGUGAGAUGUUGGGUUAAGUCCCGCAACGAGCGCAACCCUUAAGCUUAGUUGCCAUCAUUAAGUUGGGCACUCUAGGUUGACUGCCGGUGACAAACCGGAGGAAGGUGGGGAUGACGUCAAAUCAUCAUGCCCCUUAUGAUUUGGGCUACACACGUGCUACAAUGGAUAAUACAAAGGGCAGCGAAUCCGCGAGGCCAAGCAAAUCCCAUAAAAUUAUUCUCAGUUCGGAUUGUAGUCUGCAACUCGACUACAUGAAGCUGGAAUCGCUAGUAAUCGUAGAUCAGCAUGCUACGGUGAAUACGUUCCCGGGUCUUGUACACACCGCCCGUCACACCACGAGAGUUUGUAACACCCGAAGCCGGUGGAGUAACCUUUUAGGAGCUAGCCGUCGAAGGUGGGACAAAUGAUUGGGGGAAGUCUAACAAGGUACCCG